UACAUUCAGUGGCGAACGGGUGAGUAACGCGUGGAUAAUCUACCUAUGAGAUGGGGAUAACUAUUAGAAAUAGUAGCUAAUACCGAAUAAGGUCAGUUGAGAUGUCAAUUGAUGAAAGGAAGCCUUUAAAGCUUCGCUUGUAGAUGAGUCUGCG
Molecule: ribosomal RNA, 154 nt
Filed under: Borrelia persica
Lineage: Bacteria; Pseudomonadati; Spirochaetota; Spirochaetia; Spirochaetales; Borreliaceae
Description: partial 16S ribosomal RNA
Rfam family: Bacterial small subunit ribosomal RNA
Source: RNAcentral